CGGUGGGGUAACCUUUUUGGAGCCAGCCGCCUAAGGUGGGACAGAUGAUUGGGGUGAAGUCGUAACAAGGUAGCCGUAUCGGAAGGUGCGGCUGGAUCACCUCCUUUCUAUGGAGA
RNAcentral lists this ribosomal RNA (116 nucleotides) under Bacillus cereus. RNAcentral's name for it is "partial 16S ribosomal RNA". It matches the Rfam family "Bacterial small subunit ribosomal RNA", at positions 1428 to 1533 of the family's 1533-position model. The record is from RNAcentral. RNAcentral also lists the same sequence under 2 other names. Lineage: Bacteria; Bacillati; Bacillota; Bacilli; Caryophanales; Bacillaceae.